UACGUAGGGGGCUAGCGUUGCUCGGAAUUACUGGGCGUAAAGCGCACGUAGGCGGCUUUCUAAGUCGGGGGUGAAAUCCUGGAGCUCAACUCCAGAACUGCCUUCGAUACUGGAGAGCUCGAGUCCGGGAGAGGUGAGUGGAACUGCGAGUGUAGAGGUGAAAUUCGUAGAUAUUCGCAAGAACACCAGUGGCGAAGGCGGCUCACUGGCCCGGUACUGACGCUGAGGAGCGAAAGCGUGGGGAGCGAACAGG
RNAcentral lists this ribosomal RNA (253 nucleotides) under uncultured bacterium. RNAcentral describes it as "partial 16S ribosomal RNA". It matches the Rfam family "Bacterial small subunit ribosomal RNA", at positions 524 to 776 of the family's 1533-position model. The record is from RNAcentral.